CCCUGGGUGGUGCAGAUGGUUAACACACUUGGCUGCUAACCAAUAGGUUGGUGGUUCAACUCCACUCCGAAGCA
This 74-nucleotide transfer RNA is filed under the name Loxodonta africana (African savanna elephant). It matches the Rfam family "tRNA". Rfam says of the family: Transfer RNA (tRNA) molecules are approximately 80 nucleotides in length. Their secondary structure includes four short double-helical elements and three loops (D, anti-codon, and T loops). Further hydrogen bonds mediate the characteristic L-shaped molecular structure. tRNAs have two regions of fundamental functional importance: the anti-codon, which is responsible for specific mRNA codon recognition, and the 3' end, to which the tRNAs corresponding amino acid is attached (by aminoacyl-tRNA synthetases). tRNAs cope with the degeneracy of the genetic code in two manners: having more than one tRNA (with a specific anti-codon) for a particular amino acid; and 'wobble' base-pairing, i.e. permitting non-standard base-pairing at the 3rd anti-codon position. Lineage: Eukaryota; Metazoa; Chordata; Mammalia; Proboscidea; Elephantidae. The record is from Rfam by way of RNAcentral.